AUGCCUUUACCUUGUCCAUGAACUUCAUUCCUAGCACGACAUCGUAGUCAUCCAUCGAGAUCACGAAAAGUCAGCUACUCCCUUCCAAGUGGCAAUGUGUAGCUCCACACCACGAGCUACUCCAUCAAUGGGCUUGGCAGUUGAAUUCACCGUCUUCAUACUGCCUGCUUUCUUCGAGACUCGACACCCAAGUCACUUUGCUUCUUGCACGGACAUAAAGUUGUGUGAAGCACCUGUAUCCACCAGGCAACGGGUUGUCUUGCCAUUCACCA
This 272-nucleotide long non-coding RNA is filed under the name Prunus persica (peach). Its description in RNAcentral is "long non-coding RNA (PPER_LNC004660)". Lineage: Eukaryota; Viridiplantae; Streptophyta; Magnoliopsida; Rosales; Rosaceae. The record is from RNAcentral.